CAGCUGAGAUACUUCAGAAGCAGAUUUCCAAGGUUUGACCAAAAUGCUCCAACUUUCUCAUCAGAAGAUGAUCUUAGUGUCAAACUGUGGGAUGAAAGGUGGUGGGUGAUAUGCAUUCCUUCAAGGAAUGCUAGGCCUUGAAUUGAUUGUGUUUUUGUGUCUCUGACAUCCAGUAAAACUAAUUCUGUCCACUUCAAUCAUUUAAUUCAGAUUUCAGUUUGAACCUUCAGCUCACAGAAUUUAUUCUUUAUUCAGGUUGGUGGAGUGCAGUUUGUCAGAGAUCAGCUGUUCUCUGGUCUCAGCUCUGAAAUCCAACCCCUCCCAUCUGACUGAACUGGACCUAAGCUACAACAACCUGUAUAACUCUGGAGUGAAGGAUCUGUGUGGUUUCCUGGAGAGUCCAAACUGUAGACUGGAGGUUCUGAGAUUGGUGCACUGCAGAUUGUCAAAGAUCAGCUGUUCUUCUCUGGGCUCAGCUCUGAAGUCCAACCCCUCCCAUCUGAAAGAACUGGACCUGAGUCAGAACAACCUUCAGGCUCCAGGUGUUCAGCAGCUGUUGGAUCUUGUGAAGAGUCCAGACUACAAACUUCAGACUCUGAGAAGACUUCUCUGAUGUGAGGCUGCUUUCUUUGAUUGGUCUGAACUCUUCAUGUCGUCACAUUUUCUUUGAAUCCACAUCAAUCAGAAAGAAACAAAAGUUAGAAGUUCUUCUCCCAAAUCCUCCACAUGGUUCAGACACCAUGAAGUUUGUGUUUAAAGGACAAGCUUGGAGGAAGGUUUCUGCUUCAGCUCUCUAAACGUGUCUCCCUCCUCUUCCUCUCUUCUUCCUCACAUCACUGACACACAGAGUGUUCAGGGACAGCCUCCAUGUUUGUUAGUCAGCUGAGAUUUCACAGUUUGUGUCUUUAAAUGGAGCUGCAGUUGACAUGGAACAGCAGGAAAUCCAUCCUUCCAGUGUUUGUGCAGUAAUGAUGACUCAGCACUUUGUUUUCUCUGUGGACUUGAGUGAAGCUGCAGAGGAAACAGACUUGAUGCUGAAAGUCUCUGCAGGCGUGUGAGCUUCGCUCCACAGCUGAAGUCCUGCUGCUCUUUCUACUGGAUGAUGCUGCAGACAGGAAGUCAGGCUGC
Molecule: long non-coding RNA, 1128 nt
Organism: Austrofundulus limnaeus
Lineage: Eukaryota; Metazoa; Chordata; Actinopteri; Cyprinodontiformes; Rivulidae
Exons: 3
Source: RefSeq, a predicted model, not a curated record